GUGAACUGGACAGUAAUUCAACCUGAUCUAUACUAAACAAUGAAGAGCGUUUUUUUCUACCAAUAAACCUUAGAGGUGAGGUAGAUGUAGCAACCACGUCAGUUUCUGGGCUUAAAGCGUGGUCAACGAGAAAGAAGCAGAACCCUGUAAUAGCUAAUUCUCGACGCGCUUUUCACACUUUUUCAUCACAGAUAAACCGCUUAUUAGGCGGUUUUAUACUUUAUAACUUUUUAUUCUUCUGAUAUUUAGCUCUAAACUUGCUAAACUAACCCAUAACAAAUAAAUC
Molecule: unclassified non-coding RNA, 286 nt
Filed under: Moritella viscosa
Lineage: Bacteria; Pseudomonadati; Pseudomonadota; Gammaproteobacteria; Alteromonadales; Moritellaceae
Description: putative sRNA
Source: RNAcentral